AGUGCACCAGUGGGGUCCCUCGGCCUGGCCUGCACCCUCUCGCAAUCUGGGACCCCUCGGGGGAUAUCAGAGCUGGUUUGGGCCCGAUCCUGCAGGCCAGGCUGAGGGACCCCACUGGUGCAUG
This 124-nucleotide microRNA precursor is filed under the name Myotis brandtii (Brandt's bat). RNAcentral describes it as "mir-9193 microRNA precursor family". Lineage: Eukaryota; Metazoa; Chordata; Mammalia; Chiroptera; Vespertilionidae. The record is from Rfam by way of RNAcentral.